CACCAAUCAAGCUCUGCUUGGCAUUAGGCCUCUUCGCCCCCGGUCCUCACGGACGGCGGGGCGGGCCUCAAACACUUCGGCGGAGUCUCAUCGACUUUGGGCGUAGCAGAAUUUCUAAAACGUCAAGAGCGCUGGGCCUUCAGCCGCGAAAACACGGCGGUCGCAAGACCCCAACUUUUCUCAAA
Molecule: unclassified non-coding RNA, 185 nt
Filed under: uncultured Ascomycota
Lineage: Eukaryota; Fungi; Ascomycota
Description: sequence contains ITS2
Source: RNAcentral